AUGCCCCACCUUAAGAGCUGUAAUACUCACUGCAAGGGUCUGCAGCUUCAUUCUUGAAGUCAGACCAAGAACCCAGCAAUUCCCAACACACAGGGACCAGCUUCUUUCCUAACUCACUUAGGCUCUUCGUGCUGCUCUGGCAACUAACACCCUUGGCUGCAGGGGCUUGGACACUACCCUUAGUCACUGACAAUUGUGUGAAGGCUGCUGUCGUUAACUUCACUUGAUCACCUUAGGCUCCUGUGAAGUGGUGAGCAAUUCAAACAAAUUCCUGUCGUCAAAUCAUGCAUUCAUGGUCAAUAAUAACGUGUCUUGAAGCUAUAUCUAUAUUUUCAUCUGUCUAUCUCUUAUCUACCUGAAGCACUUCGGAAAUAGAUGAUCUGCUCAAACUUGAUAAGGGUUAGGAGGGAGGACCCUCUUCCUAGUCUUAGAGUCCCAGCUCACCAGGGAAACAUUUCUCCAGGAGGAGUGUUGAUGGUGGGAAGACAGGGCACUUAGAUUUCCGUGCUCUGUGUCCUCUUGGAUGGAACUAUUAUGGCUGACUGCUGGAUUAGACACUCAAAAGUUGGUUGGCUUGUUCUAGAUUCCUCUCCACCAGGUAGUGCUUGAUAGGCAAUGAACAAGUUUGCUUCUGCAAUGCUACGCUGGAGUGCAAUGGCGUGAUUAUGGCUCACUGCAGCCUUGACCUCCUGGACCCAGGUGAUCCUCCCACUUUAGCCUUUCAAGUAGCUGGCAAGGGCAACCCGCUCAGGUACCUUUCCACGCUGUGGAAACUUUGUGCUUUCACUCUUCACAGUAAAUCCUGCUGCUGCUCACUCUUUGGGUCUGCGCCAACUUAAGAGCUGUAACACUCACAGUGAAGGUCCGGGGCUUCAUUCUUGAAGUCAGCGAGACCACGAACCCACCAGAAGGAACCAACUCUGGACACAUCUCCGGACACAAUGAGAUUUGGAUGGGGUCACACGUCCAGAUGAUAUCAUCUUCCCUGUCAGCACAGGGUCAGGCAGGUCCUCUUUCCUCUUCCUCAGAGUAGACUGUUUUCCCUCAUGGUGUUGACCACAUGUGAAAUUAUAUCUCUAUUGUUUUGUCCCUUGUCAGCUUACCUGUUGGACCUAAAUGUGAUUAUAUCAGUUCUGUAUCUGUUUGGGUUCAUGGCUGUUCUCCUGAAUCUAGCACGGGGCCUGAUCGUGUAAUACGUACUCAAGGAAUCUGCAAGUCUGCAGGAAGGUGAAUUGGCUCUCAGGUGUUUUAAGUGAACUGUAGGGUUGAUACAUGGCCUAUAUAUUUACUCCCAGAAAACUAGUCAGCCCACUGCGUUUCAUAAAGGGAAAAGAUGGUCACAGCAGAAUCCCAGCAGAAGCCUGCUACAGGGCUGGUUGUGGAUGUGGGGGCCAAAAGAAAACAAGUUUUAUUUUUAUCACCAGAACAUUCUGAUAAAAAUAUUAUGAGAUUAGCUACCUUUAUUCUCUGGGCCUUGACUCAUUAAGAAGAAAAGAAAGAGCACUUGGAGGUCUGCUUGGAGAUCCCUGAGGUUUUUCACAGGCACAAUGUCCUUAUUUGGGAGCCUCAAAAUACCAGACUAACAUUGCUCAAAGCAGCUUUGGGAAGAGGGCAGGUGUCUGAGAUGCUGAGAGGCCAACUGAGCAGUUUUUUAGCUGGAGCCAUGGGCCACACCAGGAACAAACCACUGGACCAAAUUGACUCAGGACACCUGCUCUGGACCCAGUUUCUUCUCAUGUCUCCUCACCCCUAACUCUGCCCACCACCUCCCACUUCCUCUCUGUUCCCCAUCCCAUCCCAGGUUUGUAUUUAAAUUUCUGCAUAAUGCAUGUUCUCUGCAUGUUCUGAAGUACUUUCCAUCAAGUCCUUCAUUUUAAAAGUGUUUCUUUUAAAUGAAGCUGUGCAUAACCUCUUUUUGAGGCUCUCUUUGGCUUUUCUUGCACAAUUUUAAAUUGACCAGGUCUACUUGCAAAAAUAGAGUCCACCUGUCCCGAGUUGGAAGUCUGAACUCAUGUUCCUGGAUUCCUCCCAUGCAUCUUGGUGCUGGUGUGGGGCCUGAACUCAGCCAAUCCGCAACACCUCCAGGAGUCUUCCUCUUAGAUGCUGAGGCCACGGAGAAGGAAGCAGCACAAAGAAUGAACCCUGGAGAGGGUGCCAGAGGCAGGCGGGUUCCAGCCAUGUGGCGGCACAGCCUUACUGGGAUAGUCUAGCUGUGUCACUCAGGUACGGUUGCUCUCUGAGAAGCCGCCAAACCCAACCCUUUCACACACACCUAGGAUGCACGGGGGAAGAAGAGCUCACGGCAGGCGCCAUCUCCAGAAAGGAUCCACUGCAGGUGGUUGGUGAGUCCAGAUGGCUCCCCCAGAUGACACUGCUGGGUGGCAACCUAAUUAUUUUUCAUUAACUUUUAAUUAUGGAACAUUUCAAACGUGUGCACAAUUAAAGAGAGUCGUACAAUGAACCUCGUGUGUCCGAAACUCAACUUCGACAACGAUCAACUAAAUGCCCAAUCUUGUUUUAUCUGUAUCUCCACACACUUCCCCCUCCACAGACUACGACAACGUGCCUAGGCCCAUCAGAGUCUGCCCUCCACCCACCUUCUCAGCCUCCUCUAUGAUCCUCUUUUCCCAGCCUGAAGCUCACGUCUCCUGACUGCUCUGGCCCAGUAUCUGCCACACUCUUCAUGCUUUGGUGCCUUUGUGUCUUGUCCCUCAGCCUGGAAUACCCUUCUCUCUUUCUCCCCUGCAGUGAAUUCCUGCUCAUCCUUCAAGAUCAGUGGAAAACAUAGCUCUUCUUUGAAGCCUUCCCUGACCAGCUCUGAGCACAGUUAGUUGUUCCUUUCCUGGAGGUCCAGUAGGAUCUAGAGUCACUGCCUCCUUGUAGAAAGACCCUUCACAUGGUACCAGAGAUGGUAGUAAACAUGCUUGAGUCAGGAAAGACUUUUCCAACUUUUAUUACUGUACUAAUGCAUUUAACUAACACAGAUAUGGAGACACUGUGUUGAUGCCAGAGUAUCUGUUAUAUCCAAAUAAGG
Molecule: long non-coding RNA, 3034 nt
Filed under: Homo sapiens (human)
Lineage: Eukaryota; Metazoa; Chordata; Mammalia; Primates; Hominidae
Description: non-protein coding lnc-PXDC1-1:4
Source: RNAcentral